GAGAGCGAGGAAAAAUGGGAGGGGCGAGAAAGAAAUAGCUUCUUUCUCGCCCUUCCAUUUUUCCUCGCUCUCUUUCUCUCGCC
RNAcentral lists this microRNA precursor (83 nucleotides) under Paramuricea clavata. Lineage: Eukaryota; Metazoa; Cnidaria; Anthozoa; Malacalcyonacea; Plexauridae. The record is from RNAcentral.